GAUGAACGCUGGCGGCGUGCCUAAUACAUGCAAGUCGAGCGAACAGACGAGGAGCUUGCUCCUCUGACGUUAGCGGCGGACGGGUGAGUAACACGUGGAUAACCUACCUAUAAGACUGGGAUAACUUCGGGAAACCGGAGCUAAUACCGGAUAAUAUAUUGAACCGCAUGGUUCAAUAGUGAAAGACGGUUUUGCUGUCACUUAUAGAUGGAUCCGCGCCGCAUUAGCUAGUUGGUAAGGUAACGGCGUACCAAGGCGACGAUGCGUAGCCGACCUGAGAGGGUGAUCGGCCACACUGGAACUGAGACACGGUCCAGACGCCUACGGGAGGCAGCAGUAGGGAAUCUUCCGCAAUGGGCGAAAGCCUGACGGAGCAACGCCGCGUGAGUGAUGAAGGUCUUCGGAUCGUAAAACUCUGUUAUUAGGGAAGAACAAAUGUGUAAGUAACUAUGCACGUCUUGACGGUACCUAAUCAGAAAGCCACGGCUAACUACGUG
RNAcentral lists this ribosomal RNA (497 nucleotides) under uncultured bacterium. RNAcentral describes it as "partial 16S ribosomal RNA". It matches the Rfam family "Bacterial small subunit ribosomal RNA", at positions 28 to 507 of the family's 1533-position model. The record is from RNAcentral.